This 1470-nucleotide long non-coding RNA is filed under the name Sarcophilus harrisii (Tasmanian devil). Its description in RNAcentral is "lncRNA (ENSSHAG00000024176.1)". Lineage: Eukaryota; Metazoa; Chordata; Mammalia; Dasyuromorphia; Dasyuridae. The record is from RNAcentral.
CUCCAAAGAAGCUCACUUUGAUAGUGAAUGCCAUGUUUAUUCAGAAUCAACCAAAUAAAUAAUUAAAAGAUAAAAUGCAUAGUAAAUACAUGGAACAUCUACCACGUUACCCUGCCAAGUCCAUCAUUUUCAGUGACUGCAAAAGUCUCUUUACCUCACCUAGUUAUGGCUAAAUAAUCACAUGACUGGAGAAGCCUGCUCCCAUCCCUGUUGUGCCCUGUUGUUCCCUCCCUCUAAGGGGUACACCUCUGCCCCAGGAGUGGGGAAGGGCAGACAGAUCCAGGGGGACAUGCUAUUACACAGCUGUACUCAAAAACAAGUUUGCUAUGUUUUCCAGCACAUGGAAAUGUUAAAAUCUAAAAUCCUGAGCAAGACAAUUAAGCAGUUAAUAUUCAAAUGAGAAAGUUGGCAGCUCAACCUUAGAAAGGCCUAUAGGCCCCUCAUAGAAUGAGCAUGUAUUUAGCUCUGUUGUGAUUAGCUUUGUUUUUAAUUAUGUUACUAGCCAACAUUUAUAUAGAACUCUAGGGUCAACAAACCUAUGAAUUAGGUAAUGUUAUUUCUAUUUUAUACUUGGAGAAAUAAGUUCACAGUGUUGAAACUGGAUUCAAAACGAGGCUUCUAAGUGAUGUUUCCCUUGUUUAGCUAUUUAAGUGUUUUUGAAAUGACAGUUCUUUGGGGAUGCCAAUCUCAAUUUCUUAAAAGUUGACAUUGUCUUCCCAAUUUGAAUUUUAAAUGUAACCAACCAGAAAUAGAAUGAAAUGGGGGGGUGGAGGGGAGGGGGAGUGGAAAAGAGUGGAAUUGAGUUGUUAAUAGCUCCUUAUGGAGUCCUUAGCUCCAAUGAAAUAAUUAACCUUUUAUAUCUGUGCCCCAUGACAGUUUUAGAGAGCAGAAUUUUUCAAAUAGGGAUGGGAGAAUGGGGAGGCAAUAAUGCAAAGCAAUGUCCAAAUUUAUUGAACAUUUUUAGUUUAACUCCUGCAUAAUGUGUGUCUGCCUGUUUUAGUCAAAGCAAGGUUCAAUUCAUAGUCAACAAUAUUGAGACUAAGAGAUUAUCAAUGAUGAAAAGCAGUGCAGUGAUUAUUUGAUUAUAUGCACAGUGUUAAAUUUAAAUCCAUACUUGUCCAAUAUUCAUUUGCCAUCAUCUUUGUAACCACCUGAGCUCCAUUUGAACAUAAAGUACAAACUGAAAGGUAAACCAUCAGUAUGAAAAUAAAAAGUAGUAUAAUAUCUGUUAUAUUUCUCUGGUACUCCUUUUGAAAAAGUGCAGUAUAACAAGCUAUAUGUUUUUAAUUGAAAUAAAGACUCAAAAAAACACUUGACAUUUUCAACAAUGACAUUCAAAUAUAAAUCUCUGAAAUUUUUUAUUGUUUCUAAUUUAAGAAGUGAAAAAUGUCUAUUUGUGAUACAUAAAUACAUAACCAGUUUGGUGAAAAAAUUCACUAGGUCAGCUGAAACCUAUUCAAGACAAUAGAG